RNAcentral lists this transfer RNA (100 nucleotides) under Streptomyces rubrolavendulae. RNAcentral's name for it is "tRNA-Glu". The record is from RNAcentral. Lineage: Bacteria; Bacillati; Actinomycetota; Actinomycetes; Kitasatosporales; Streptomycetaceae.
GUCGUACGCGGUGAGCAUGGGCCACUUCUCGCCGCGCUCCUUGGCGGCGGCGAUGUCGUGGACGGUGACCCGGCGGGUGCCCUUCCCGCCGUACAGCGCC